Molecule: ribosomal RNA, 502 nt
Filed under: uncultured Glomeromycotina
Lineage: Eukaryota; Fungi; Glomeromycota
Description: partial small subunit ribosomal RNA
Rfam family: Eukaryotic small subunit ribosomal RNA
Source: RNAcentral
CCAAUAGCGUAUAUUAAAGUUGUUGCAGUUAAAAAGCUCGUAGUUGAAUUUCAGGCCUGGCUGGACGGUCCGCCCUUCGGGUGAGUACUGUCUGUAGUCGGGUCCUACCUUCUGGCGAAGCGUCAUGGCCUUAACCGGCCGUGGCGGGGAACCAGGACUUUUACUGUGAAAAAAUUAGAGUGUUUAAAGCAGGCUUACGCUUGAAUACAUUAGCAUGGAAUAAUGAAAUAGGACGUUUGAUUCUAUUUUGUUGGUUUCUAGGAUCGACGUAAUGAUUAAUAGGGAUAGUUGGGGGCAUUAGUAUUCAAUUGUCAGAGGUGAAAUUCUUGGAUUUAUUGAAGACUAACUACUGCGAAAGCAUUUGCCAAGGAUGUUUUCAUUAAUCAAGAACGAAAGUUAGGGGAUCGAAGACGAUCAGAUACCGUCGUAGUCUUAACCAUAAACUAUGCCGACUAGGGAUCGGAUGAUGUUAAUUUUAUAAUGACUCAUUCGGCGCCUUACG